RNAcentral lists this small RNA (79 nucleotides) under Flavobacterium urumqiense. RNAcentral's name for it is "Flavo-1 RNA". It matches the Rfam family "Flavo-1 RNA". Lineage: Bacteria; Pseudomonadati; Bacteroidota; Flavobacteriia; Flavobacteriales; Flavobacteriaceae. The record is from RNAcentral.
GAUUUGCACGAGAGAUGGAAGUGGCAUCCUUUUAUAAAGCUUCGCGGAAUAAAAGAUACAACGAACAGCUCGACCCGGA